This 460-nucleotide ribosomal RNA is filed under the name uncultured bacterium. RNAcentral's name for it is "partial 16S ribosomal RNA". It matches the Rfam family "Bacterial small subunit ribosomal RNA", at positions 338 to 795 of the family's 1533-position model. The record is from RNAcentral.
CCUACGGGAGGCAGCAGUGAGGAAUAUUGGUCAAUGGGCUUACGCCUGAACCAGCCACGUCGCGUGAGGGAAGACUGCCCUAUGGGUUGUAAACCUCUUUUGUCAGGGAGCAACGCCGGCUACGUGUAGCCGUACUGAGAGUACCGUAAGAAAACGCAUCGGCUAACUCCGUGCCAGCAGCCGCGGUAAUACGAAGGAUGCGAGCGUUAUCCGGAUUGAUUGGGUUUAAAGGGUGCGUAGGCGGAAUGCCAAGUCAGCGGUAAAAUCGCGGGGCUCAACCUCGCUCCGCCGUUGAAACUGGCGUUCUUGAGUGGGCGAGAAGUAUGUGGAAUGCGUGGUGUAGCGGUGAAAUGCAUAGAUAUCACGCAGAACUCCGAUUGCGAAGGCAGCAUACCGGCGCCCAACUGACGCUGAAGCACGAAAGCGUGGGUAUCGAACAGGAUUAGAUACCCGAGUAGUC